RNAcentral lists this ribosomal RNA (497 nucleotides) under uncultured bacterium. RNAcentral's name for it is "partial 16S ribosomal RNA". It matches the Rfam family "Bacterial small subunit ribosomal RNA", at positions 28 to 507 of the family's 1533-position model. The record is from RNAcentral.
GAUGAACGCUGGCGUCGUGCCUAAUACAUGCAAGUCGAGCGAACAGACGAGGAGCUUGCUCCUCUGACGUUAGCGGCGGACGGGUGAGUAACACGUGGAUAACCUACCUAUAAGACUGGGAUAACUUCGGGAAACCGGAGCUAAUACCGGAUAAUAUAUUGAACCGCAUGGUUCAAUAGUGACAGACGGUUUUGCUGUCACUUAUAGAUGGAUCCGCGCCGCAUUAGCUAGUUGGUAAGGUAACGGCUUACCAAGGCAACGAUGCGUAGCCGACCUGAGAGGGUGAUCGGCCACACUGGAACUGAGACACGGUCCAGACUCCUACGGGAGGCAGCAGUAGGGAAUCUUCCGCAAUGGGCGAAAGCCUGACGGAGCAACGCCGCGUGAGUGAUGAAGGUCUUCGGAUCGUAAAACUCUGUUAUUAGGGAAGAACAAAUGUGUAAGUAACUAUGCACGUCUUGACGGUACCUAAUCAGAAAGCCACGGCUAACUACGUG